GAUGAAGAACGUAGCGAAAUGCGAUAAGUGAUGUGAAUUGCAGAAUUCAGUGAAUCAUCGAAUCUUUGAACGCACAUUGCGCCCAUUAGUAUUCUAGUGGGCAUGCCUGUUCGAGCGUCAUUUCAACCCUUAAGCCUAGCUUAGUGUUGGGAAUCUGCUGUAUUGCAGUUCCUCAAAUACAACGGCGGAUCUGUAACAUCCUCUGAGCGUAGUAAAUUUUUAUCUCGCUUUUGUUAGGUGUUGCAGCUCUCAGCCGCUAAACCCCCCAAUUUUUGUGGUUGACCUCGGAUCAGGUAGGAAUACCCGCUGAACUUAAGCAUAUCACUAAGCGGAGGA
Molecule: unclassified non-coding RNA, 336 nt
Filed under: soil metagenome
Description: partial contains 5.8S ribosomal RNA, internal transcribed spacer 2, and large subunit ribosomal RNA
Rfam family: 5.8S ribosomal RNA (bases 1-120)
Source: RNAcentral